GCUCUAUACAGGCAAAUCAGGUUCCAAAAAGCAUCAUGUUUCUGGAGGAAGAACACUGACAAAAUCAAAGCAUGUGUGAGGAAGACCCAAGCUGAAGCCAGGAAGGCAUUCAUCUGUCGAGCUCGCAAGGAGAAGCACCAGUGCAAGUUUAUUUUAGCCAACCAAGUCAGUUGCUGGGACCACAGCAUCUCUUCCAGGAAACCAAAAAGCCUCUUAAAACAUCUUCAGAAACUUAACAGGAGCCCAGGGUGAAGUGUUAGAUAGCAGUGGGGAAGUUGAGUGCACACAGAAGGAAUUCAAGUGUUGGAGGAAGCCGGGCUGCUGGACAGAGUCUGCAUCUGCUGCUGAAGGCUACAUUGGUGCUGACACACUGGGUUAUUUCUGCCAUGAUAUUACCCGAGUGUCCAAUUAAAGACAAGGUUAAACAUGGUUUGAGAUCAAUGUUGUGAGUACUUGCAAGAGGAGAUUUCAGAUUUUGCUUUAGUGUUUGAAAGGUCAGAAGCUUUACAGCUCCUGCUAAUCUUCACUGAGAUGCCUCCCAAACAGCCUCUCAGGUAGCA
Long non-coding RNA from Cygnus olor (mute swan), 560 nucleotides. RefSeq lists it as uncharacterized. The record is from RefSeq and is a predicted model, not a curated record. NCBI's taxonomy places the organism in Eukaryota, Metazoa, Chordata, Aves, Anseriformes, Anatidae. The transcript is spliced from 4 exons.